UGGGGAAUAUUGCGCAAUGGGCGAAAGCCUGACGCAGCAACGCCGCGUGAGUGAUGAAGGCCUUCGGUAUGUAAACUUCGAAAGAAUAGGAAGAAUAAAUGACGGUACUAUUUAUAAGGUCCGGCUAACUACGUGCCAGCAGCCGCGGUAAUACGUAGGGACCAAGCGUUGUUCGGAUUUACUGGGCGUAAAGGGCGCGUAGGCGGCAUGACAAGUCACUUGUGAAAUCUCUGGGCUUAACCCAGAACGGCCAAGUGAUACUGUCGCGCUAGAGUGCAGAAGGGGCAAUCGGAAUUCUUGGUGUAGCGGUGAAAUGCGUAGAUAUCAAGAGGAACACCUGAGGUGAAGACGGGUUGCUGGGCUGACACUGACGCUGAGGCGCGAAAGCCAGGGGAGCAAACGGGAUUAGAUACCCCCGUAGUCCCUGAGCGGGCUGGCAAGGCGCAU
Molecule: ribosomal RNA, 447 nt
Filed under: uncultured bacterium
Lineage: Bacteria
Description: bacterial SSU rRNA
Rfam family: Bacterial small subunit ribosomal RNA
Source: RNAcentral